UACAGAGGGGGCAAGCGUUGUUCGGAAUUACUGGGCGUAAAGGGCGCGUAGGCGGCCGCCUAAGUCAGACGUGAAAUCCCUCGGCUCAACCGGGGAACUGCCUUCGAUACUGGCGAUCUUGAGUCCGGAAGAGGUGAGUGGAACUCCUAGUGUAGAGGUGGAAUUCGUAGAUAUUAGGAAGAACACCAGUGGCGAAGGCGGCUCACUGGUCCGGUACUGACGCUGAGGUGCGAAAGCGUGGGGAGCAAACAGG
Molecule: ribosomal RNA, 253 nt
Filed under: uncultured bacterium
Lineage: Bacteria
Description: partial 16S ribosomal RNA
Rfam family: Bacterial small subunit ribosomal RNA
Source: RNAcentral